UUUUGACUAUGAUGAAGAUAGUGCAUUUGGGCCUCAACACUGGGGAGAUCUGGAUCCGGAUUGGGCAACCUGCCAAGAUGGGAAAAAGCAAUCACCAAUAAAUAUAAAUCAUGAGAUUAUUGAAGUGGAUUCGAGUAUUGGAAGCUUGAUGACAAGUUACAACAGCACUUUUGCAAUUAUGCAAAAUACGGGCCAUUACAUAUUGGUAAGAAGUAGAACAUGAACAAGAAGGGGAAAUAAAAGAACCAGUAAUCUCAUCUUUUUAUUUUCUGUUGCUAAAUAGAAGGGCUAAAGUCCCUCUAAACAUAUUCGUUAAAUCAAUGAAAAGAUAUUACUAUGUUUUACAUUGUUUUUAGGUUUUAUUUUACUCUUUUUUUUAUGAUUUUUUAUAAAAAUUUUGUUCAUAUAAUUUCUUUUUUAUUUUUCUUAUGUGAAUGUAGAUUAACUGGACAGAAGGCGCAACACCUGGUGCAGGAUCUCUUUUGAUUGAUGGCAAGGACUAUGUUCUUCAACAAUGUCAUUGGCACUCACCCUCUGAGCAUAUAUUUUUUUGGUGAGAGGUACCUUUCUAUAACUCCAUCUCCACCCUUUUUUUUGGUAACAUAAAUUUGUUAUAGGGAGGGUGACAUUGUGUGGCCUCGAAAUUGGAUUUAUACAUUUCAAAAAUGCUUUAGUAACUCAAAAAUGUCAUUAAACAAGCCGCUUGGUGCGAUGUAUUCUAAUUGCUCCCUUUGAAUUGCUAUCAUCAACUGUGCCAUUAAAUGAAGCAAGGUGAUUCAGUGAUUGGUAUAAAGCACCUGAAUGACUAUUCUGAGUUACUUUAGCAUCACUCCAUAUGCAUUUUAUAUGUUAAUUAUUUGCUAUCUGAUGUUUUAUUAUUCUUGACCCCAAAAUUGGGCCCGGCCCACCCAUUCGACCUGACACACUGUGUCACUAUGCCUAAGUCCAGCGGAUGGGUCCAACAGGAUGGGCCAAAUUUGCCCAGGUCUAGCCGGCCCACAUUCUACAUGCCUGGAGUAAGCUUUGAGCAAAUAGAAGUUGAAGAACUCUUCAGAACAUGAGUCAAGAAAAAACUUCUAUAAUUAUAUGGCAUCCUAUGAAAAAUAAACCCUUUUCUAGAAUAAGAUAUAUGUUAGCAUGUCGCUUAACUCAAAAUGUGUUUUACAGUUUUCAAGUAACAACACAUCUUGGAGGUGUAAAAACCAAUGAUUUUAGUUAAUGUUACUUUAUUUGAUUUAAUGUAAUAACUCAAGGCCUCAUCUUAAAACUCUUGAGAUGUGCUUUGCCCUUUUCAAGUUACAACAUGCCUUAGAGGCUUAAGACUAUGGAUUUCAAUUAACAAUGCUUUUUUUGAUUUAGUAUAACAUUAAUCCGGGAUCUCAUCUAAAAAGGACUAGCUAAAAGGUAGUCAAGAUCUCUCAAACAAUACUCUCUCCAUUUGGUCCAAAUCUAAUCAAUUCAAUUUAUAAACACCAGACCAUGAUAGCCCUAUUGUCAUCUCAAAAAGGGCCCAUAUUAUAAUAUCCCCUAGUCCAUAUAGACAGUGGGCUAGGUUAGCUUUGAUGGCCUCACCUAAAAACGAUUAGCCAAAAUGCAUUAUUUGGUUUCCUGGUUUUGUAUUAGUAUCUAAUAUCUUCCUAGCACACAAGUAAUAUAGAUUGAAUACAAUACUCAUAUAGGUAGGAUUUGAGUUCCUUCUUUGUAUAAGUAUUCAAGAUCUUUUCAACAUAUAACUAAUGUAGAAUGAAAUACAUGCUCGCGUGGAACCUCAAUCAAAGAACCGAAAUAAUACCAUUUGUCUAACCUUUUUCGGAUAAGGUUCGGAGUUGUUAUAAUUUGUAUCAGAGUGGACCAGUCAUACAAUCUAUGUAUGAUUGUGGUAAAGAUGUCUGCGCUUAAACAGGGGAGAACCUGUGUGGACAUGUAUUUACUUGUAUAAUAGUUACGAGCUCUAAAGAUUUUGAUAUUCAUUUAGAGCCAAGGAACUCAAAUAAUAUAUUUCAGAUAGCUUUGUCAGGAUAAGAUCCGUUGUUAUUAAAAUUUUAUAUUUUAUAUUUGUAAAACUCAGCUUCAAAGAGUGAAAAAAUAUGAAACAUGGAUGCGCAGAUGCUUGGACACACAUUAAUACUUUGCUCAUAUUUUAAUGGAAAAUGCUGCAUUAUUCUCUUCCUUCCCUCUGUAGACCAUCCUAGAGAAACUGGUUCCAAGAGAUCAUCCCAACAGAUUUCAAGAUAUUAUCCCUCUCAUAGCACAUCUCACGUAUUUUGGAAGUCAAUUUCCAGCCUCUUACCUUUCGGUGUUUGUAACCUAAGCCAUAAAUAUGUACUUGUAGGUAUCCUCUGGAGUUGCAUAUGGUCCACAUGAAUUCAGAUGGAAGCAUAGCUGUCAUUGGCAUCUUGUACCAACAUGGCUCUCCUGAUCCGUUCCUUUCAAAGGUUUGACAUCAAAAGAACGUACCUUCUUUUACCUUUUCCUCUUCACUCCAACUUAAGCAGGCUAAUCUUUAUUGGCUCAGCUGCGGAACUACUUGGAGUAUCUGAUACGGGAGCAAAAAGAUGAGGUUGUCGUGGGAUAUUUACCUCCACCACCAAUAGAGAAUCGAGCUCCUUAUUAUAGAUACUCUGGCUCUCUAACCACUCCACCCUGCACUGAAAAUGUUACUUGGAUCCUACUACGAGAGGUUUGCAUCAUCUUUAACUUACCUAUUAUGCUUGCCUCCUUUGCUAAGCUCUGCCUCUUUAUCAAUCAAUUCAUUGUGGUUUUAGGUGAGGCCCGUAUCAGAAGGACAAGUAGACCUGCUAAGGGCUGCUUUACAUUAUGUAAGUUGGCUGAUUGAGAAUUAUCAUAUUCAAUGCAAUGCAAUUACAUUAGAUUACUUAAAUAUCUUUGUAGCUUGCUGAUGGCCGACGAAAUGGUCUAUUUUGUGUUCAAUUACCUUUCUGCAGAAGGACAAUGCAAGACCAAUUCAACCAAUCAACGGACGCAAGGUCUACUUGUACAAACCAUGGAUACACGAAGAUCAUGCGAGUCCUAUUGCUACAUAAUUACUUUGAUGGGAAAAUCUUAUUCCAAACAGCAAAUAAAAUAACCAAGAGUUUAGCAUACUUUGUUGCUCUGCUUUUAAAAUCUGAAAUAAGGUGUUGUGGCCCUACGUUGAAGGCCAGCCGCUUAAAUAAACAUUUCAGUCCAUGGUACAUAGUGAUCGUAAUGCAAUGUAUUCUCUUUUCUUGUAUCAGCUAUUUCUUUCUUGUGCACUAGUUUGUAACCUUGGAUACCAUCAGAACGAUCGUUAUUUGCUGUAUGAUAAAUGAUUUGCUAUUUGGUGAAGAAUGACUUGCACAAACGAUGUCAACAUAUUUUACUAGUUAUAAUGCACAUGUCUAUGUACGUGUGUAUCAAAUAAAAUAUCAUAAUAAUUUCGUGUAUAAAUUAUUAUGUUGAAAAUCCAUUUAUUGCUAAUGGCACAUACAAAGACAGAAAACCUAAUUUGAUGCGGACUUGAAAAAUAGUACUUGAGAUAGAAAGGCUAGGAGGAAUGAUAAAAUUAUAUAUAGCCUCGACUUAUAUCUAGUCUGACCUGAUCCGAUUGCCACCUCUAGGACUCAAUUGCUACCAAGUCAAUAGCACCCAUCUCCUUCUGCAACAUCAAUAAAAGAAAUUAUGUGAUUUGUGGGCGCCCUAUUGUAUUGCUCUUUAGAUUAACGAAACCUAUACAUGCUGGCCGAUUAAGCCUAGAAAAUAUUACAGAUAAAAAUGUUCCAAUUAGAGAUCUUCUGAAAAAAAGUAGUGAGGUUAUAAAUCAUAAUCUGGAGGAUGAAAUAAUCAUAACCGAUCAUGAUCUGGCUGACAAAAACUAGAUCGGAUCAGAUACCUUGCCAAAGGCAAUGAUGAUCCUGGAGGAGUCUAUUUAAAUUAGAGGUAAGAUGGACACAGGUUUGUGACUUUCUUUGCAUGUGCCUACCACUAUCAUAGAGCAAAUACCGAUUCCUGUUAUCACUUGCAAUGCAAAUGCUGAAUCUAUUCAUCACGUGUUUGUCACCUGCCCAUUCUCAAUGGAAGUUUGGAAUGCUGUCAGCUUUUGCCUGAAUGCAUCGGUUCCUCCACCCAGGCUGGACUUCUCAUAUCAAAACCGGACUUCACAGUCCUUUCCGGAGGACCAACAGCAAAUCAUCCUCAUGUUCAUCUCCUCUUUUUCAUGGGCCUCGUGGAAAGAAAGAAAUUCUAGGAUUUUCUCGAGGAAAUCUUCUAUACCUGUUUCAGUUGCUCAGAAUGGUCUCAACAUGCUCAAAGAUUGGUCCGUCCUUUAUCAGAGCAAACACCUCAAAGUUUGGACAAAAAUCAAGAACAUCAGCACUAUCUUAAAGGAUUCAUGGUUCCAUAUACAGCUUACUACUUGAAAAAUCCAUCCCUAGCUGUUUGAAGUGGCUGAUCCUCUUUGUUUUUCCUGCAGAGCCUUGAGUUUUCACAACAAGAGAGUGUUCAUCACCUCUCUGGUCUUUCACUACUCUAUCCCUUGGAUGGACCUCUCUUCUCCAUGAGCCUGCUGCUACUUAUUUCUUUUGUUGAUUGUGAGACAACAUUGUUAAAGAAUCACUUUGCCCUAUUCUCUUAUAUAUAGUGCUACGUAAAUAACUUCUUUCAGUAAAAAAUUUGGAUGGCUCUUUUUUAGCCUCCCUUAUCAUCAAAAAAAAAGAAAAAGUUAAAACUUGUUGCAAUCUCAAUUUUACCAUAUUCGCUGAGAAUUUAAUAUCUUGGUGCCUAUAUGUCAACUGAAAUCUUGGAAACUCUUAGUUCUUCCUAAAAUUUCUGCACCUUCUAUUGCUGUUGAGAUAAACACAGAUCUAUGUACAUGACAAUUGAUACGUAUUAAAUUUCUGAUAUCAGCUUGAUAUUACCAUGACCUUCAAUCCCAUUUAAGAAUACAUCCUUGAACUUUGGCUAACUCUUUGGGAAAGAGUUUUAAUGAAAAUGAUGGAAAAAAUAUUGGACACCUCGACCUCAGGCUAUACUGACCUCGACAACCUCGGCCUCGACCGAAGAGAGCAACUUCGGUCCCGAUUGAGGAGCUAACCGAUCAAAGUGAGCAACUUCGUCUCUGACUGAGGAGUCCAUUCAACACGUGCCAUCAGGGACUGACAGUCCUAACAACCGAUGGCCUUGGCAGCCCGUAGUCAUGACAGCACUAUAGUCUGCACCCAACUAGCACUAAGAAUAACUGGAAUUGAACGAGCAAACGGAGGCUGAAAGCAUGCCGUCCACACGGACUAGCUUUCACGCUGCGGCUGUACCAUCGGCCAUUGCCUGGCCGUCUUUGUUCUUCACAUCAGUCCAGAUAACGAAAAAAUACUCUCUUAUAUAAAGGGGCAACUCGAGAGAUCUCAGGAAUGAGGUAGAAAGCCUCUUUUUUAAUGACUCUGUCAAAGUAACAAGACCAUUAUUUCUGACUUUUUGAAGGGGUCCGACCUAAAUCGACUAUCACCCUCGCUUUCCUCAUCUUUGCUUAUGGUGCCGUCUUUUGAAUUAGAAGAAAUGCCAUGCGUUUGAUAACAUAUUACUAUGGAAGUCGAAGAGGGGCAGCUCCUCUUAGACUUCUCAACAGGUAGUCACCCUCAGAAAAGAAAAGGGAAAACAUGCCAAUUUAACAUUUGUGACAUCAAUUGGGGCCUUUGGAUCUAUGAUUUCAAUGAUUUAUAUGUAAGACUAUCAAAAGUUGUGAUGUCUUUCAAAUUUUUGAGUAUAAAAUAACCUCCUAAAUAUUGGAAUUUGCAUGAAUUCCUUUCCAAAAUUGAUAUUUGCAUGUAUACUAUUAUAUAAUACUUGUUUUGCAUGUAUAUCCUUCUGAUCCUUUUCUUUUUUGUAUUUGCACCCACAUCAUCUAAUGCCAUUAAAAAAUUUGUAGUUUAAAAUUGAAAUGACUGAAGUACCUUUAAUGGAUAAAUAUGAAGAAAAAAAUAUUUAUAAGGGUGUAUAUACAAAUAAAAAUUUUAUGAGGGUGUUCAUACAAUUUCACAUAUUUAGGAGGGUAUACACGCCAUAAAAUUCUUAGAUUUUUUUACAUGAAUAUCCUCCUAAAUAUUAAAAUUUGCAUGAAUACCUUCCCAAAAUUAAUAUUAGCAUGGACACUUUGACAUAACAGUUUAGUUGAUAUAAUUAGACAAAAUCAUAUCUAUCUAAAUUAUAAAUUAAUUAAAUUAUGAAAUUACCGCAAAAGUAGGUAACAGGUUAAUGGGUCUUGUUGAGAACUUACCAAUUCCAUUGAACUUCCUAUCUUUGCACGCGAUCGCUCUCUUCCGCUUAAGAUCGCCCUAAUCCCUCUACCUUCUUUGUAAAAUUUUGCAAUCUCUUUCGAUCCCUCUCUUUCACUCUUCCAUCUAGAAUCAAAACCUUUUUCUUGACUCCCUUUACCAUCAACAACCCUUCUCUAUUGACCCCUCUUUUUUUUCUUUUAGUGUGUGAGAUUUGUAAUAUUUAUCUUUUAGAACCAAAAAACUUCUUGUGUGCAAGUAGGUGGCUGAUUUAAAAUUAUUGUAAUAAAAUGAGUCUCAUAGGUCUUUUUCUUCUUUCUGAAAAUCGAAGCUCCAAACAAAAAUAGCUUAAGCAUAAGGGGUGGCCUUUUAUCAUAUGAGUGCAGAGGUUGUUAGUUUGAAGGAUUUUGAAGUCCUUCAAUGGCUUUGCUCGGGGACGAUUAAUAUUUUUCUUCAACCCAUAAGGACAGCAGUAGUAAGAAAGCUUGAUUAUUGCAAUCUAUUGUGUGCCUUUAAGAGAUUCUAAUCUAUUUCUAUAUUCUGAUUUAUACCAUCACAGAUGCAUCUAUAACAAUAAAUAUUACAAGUUGAUUUUCGAUUAAAUGAGACAUAAUGGUUAUUGUAAAUGAUUUAUGGUAUAAAAUACAAUCAUUCGGACAACUGUGUAUGUUCUCGUGUCCAAGAUCCAAUUCGUUUACUAGUUUCUUGGCUUUAUAAGAAGAUGACGGCAAAGUAACACCUUCCGAAAAUGCAUUCUUUAAUAAUUGAAGUGGCAUAGUGAAAGACUUGCUAGACCACCCAUUCAAAUAUUUUAAAUAAAAUAAAUGCAUAAAAAAAGAAAUCUUCAACAAAUUCUUUCCAUGCGGAUAUAGUUUUUGAUCUCAAUCUUUCAUCAAGUUAUGAUACCGAGUUAUGUCAUCAUUAGAUGAAUGUAUAGAUUCCUCAGCAUGCAUACAAUUAGUAAAUGUACACUCAUCACCUAUUGUACCUGCUUCUUGUUCUCCACUGAAAUCUACUAUAUUUUCUAUACCAUGUCCAAGAGCAUAUCUGAGUAAGGCCCUUAUAUCAUCUUCUCCUACAGAAUUUCUUUCCAUGUUACUGGAUCCAAAACUAGAGGUGUUUCUAUAUAGGAGGCUUGGUUACAUGGAGAUGGCAAUAUGGACUCUCCAUGAAAAAUCCAUUCAAUAUAACCCUUUAGAAAACUAUUUCACACCAAAUGUUCUUCAACAGUUUUUGGAGCGAAAGAAGAACAAUUUAUACAUUUUCAACAUGGACAUAAAAUCUUUUCGUUCAUAUUAGAUUUCUCAAAAGCAAAUUUAAUAAAAUUCUGAACUCCAUUCGAAUAUUCUUUGCUGGAUCUCAACUUAUUUAUCCAACUUUGGUCCAUUUUAUUAGAAUACUGAUUGUAUUGCAACUUAUUUACAAAAGAUAAACGAAAUUAAAUAUUUAAUAUUACAUUCCAAAUGAACAACUGGUCUUCUAAGAUAUGAAGGCAGCAAAAGCAUUACCAGAUCCUACAAUACAUGACCUAGACUUGUUUAGUGGUGGAUCCAUGGUGAGAUUGCUCAAGGUAGAAGGUGGACUCAACAUCUCAAAAAAGUUUCACCCUUAGCUAAGCCUACUUGGGAAUCAUGCUGAGAAUACUUCAGAGAUAAUCAAGUUUAUUCCUCUUCAAUAAUAUAUCUAAGAAAGGUCUCUUCUCUAGAUUAUCUUAUUACUCUUCUUAAACAACAUAUUCAUUCAAUUUUGGCAAACAAAAUUAUUAAUCAGGUUUUCUAGCUAUUUUUUUAGAGGGGAAUACGAGCAAUCUAGACAAUUUUCUAUUUUUUUCCAAGAAAUCUCUCCUCAGCGUAUGCGUUGAGGAGAAUGGUGCAAGCCGGCCGAACCAUAUUGCAUCGCACGUAUAAGACCCGAGCAAUGGACUAAUGCGGCAAUCUCAAAUUAAAUGGCUGCUAGUCUCUUUUCAUAAGAUCAGGAUUGUGUUGAGGGCAAGAUUUGUGAAUGAGAAGACCGGAAUACUUUUAAAAAUCUGAAUUGGUGAGCACAUCAAAUCCAGCAAAUGCAUGUGCAACCCAGCAAGAUUCAUCAAGCACACCAAGUGUUAGAUAUCUAGGGGAAGCAGCAACCAUUGUUAAAAUCCAUGCACGAUUUAAGUAAAACUAAAUAUUUGAUCAGUAUUAAAAGCAACAGUCGUUAUUAAAUCAAGUUCCGUGGGGAUGCGAUUAGCAAAAAUUCAACUUUGGUAAACAAAAAUUAUUAAUCCAGAAUUAGAGAGGAAAAUCAUGCAAUGAUAUAAACGAGGCCGCAAUUAAUUUAUAGAGGAGUGGGUUACCUAAGAUCUGUGGGCUGGCUUUCUUUCUCGUCAAUGGAGGAUGACAGUCGGCUAGAGUUUGGAAGAAGACAGUGGAACGGCGGUGGCUAUAGGCAGGGAAGGAGGAUGGAGAAAGAGGAGGAGGAUGCAGCUAUGCUCCGAUAGUGGGUUCUCUGGAGACGGAGGCCGGAGAAGGAGGGGGAGGAUGCAACUAUGCUGGUGGAGGACUCUCUGGAGGAGGAGGAGGAUGAAGCUUUGGGGGAUUACUCUCGGGAGGAGGAGAAGAAGAAGAAGGAGGAGGAUGAGUAGGGCUCGUCGAUUUGGGGCUCCGCUCUCUGGGGUUAGGGAUUUGGGGGGCUUUCGAGGAUUUAUAUCCAUCGUCUUGUUCUUGCUCUUGGAUUCCGAUGGUGUUUAAUUGCGCCGUCUAAUACCACCGACACUUCUGUGUUCUGGCUUUAGCUUCCGAGGAUGCUUACCAAAAAAAAAAAAUUGUCAAAAUUUUGUGCUAUAUCAUCGACGCUUUCAAGGGUCGUAAUAUUUCGAUGCUAUUAAAAAGUAUUGAUAAAUUUUGGCAUAGUAGCUAAAUCAUCGACGCUUUUUUCUAACAUUGUCGGGUUAGAGUCGCCAUAUCCUAUUACUUUUGAUUUUGGGAUGAUUAUCCUAUUACUAAAUGUCCCCAUAUUGUAAAUGUGUGUGUACAUAUAUAUUGUGUAUGUUUCUAUGUGAAAAAUGUAUGACCAUUGGAAUCUAUAGAAAAUUUGCCUUAUAUCUUAGAUCUUGGGUGAAAGAAUAAAAUAGAUGAACAAAAACACUUUACAACUUUCCAUUAAAAUAUAAUGGGUCCUUGCCUUAAAAGCUUGGAACAUAUGGGUAAAUUAAUUAGAUUUUAUUUUAUUUACCCAUAGCAGCUUUAAGCAGCAUUGUAUUUGAGUCCUCCCAAUCUUCGCAAAUGGUAUUGCCCAAUCAUAGUAGCCUGCUAGGUUUAGUCAUUAUAAUGGAUGAACUAUAUUUGCGAAAAAACAACAGAGAGCAGUAACAAAAAUAAUGGUUUCAUUUAAUUAAAUUUCUUUUCACAUGUUAUAAUAUCACUUGUUAUUGUCGUUGUGGACAUCAUCAUCAAUGUGGUGGGUUUAAAGAUUAGUUCAAGAAGAUUGAGUUUUAUUCUUUUUAAUAUGUCAUUAUCAUGAAUAAGAAAGUUGGAAAGGUUAAUUUAGGCUCCAAUAAAUUUCUGUCAUUAGGCACUUAUGGUUAUUAGAUUUAGUUGGUAUGAUCAUGGCUAUCCAAACCCUUCCCACGUAACAUCUUUUCUUGAGGAUGUGAAAAGGUCUGCAAACCUUGUUUGGCGCAACCAUAGUUUAUUCUUUGAUAUCAAACAACAUAUUGCUUAAUAGGAUGAUUUGGAUAAUAAUAUCCCCAAAUUUGUCUAGCAAUAAGACUAACAGACAAUAGCUACAGCAAUAUUCCAACCUUUCCUAGUUCUUCUAGAAAUAGGAGUCUUUCAAAGGAUCAAUAUCAAAGCAAGAACUAGAGAGGGAGCAAAAUUUCAAAGCCCAAAAAAUGGUUCAUUGUCUAGUUAGAAAAAAUUAAAAAAAAACUGAUCAUGGCCCAAGCUUGGGUAUAGAAAAUGUUAAAUUUUAUAUAAGCCCAAUAAGAAAUUUGAUUUAAAAUAAAUAGAGUUUAGGUCCAAAGCCCUGUUUAUGAUCAGCUCUAUUAGAACCGGAUCUGCAAAAUGCACAAGGGACAAGCAGUCACCAUUAUUAAUUUUGUUUCGUUCUCUCAAUGAAAUGAACCUUGUGGGAUUUAAUCACUUCAAUUAAUUUUUUUAUUGUUCUCGAGAAUAAUGGCGACGAAGGUCAUCAUCAUGUCAUGACAAACAUGAAAUGAUAAGUACUAAGUUCUAAUGUAAAGUUAGGCCAGAACUAUAAAAGUUCUUGUGCGCUUUCUUAGACUAGGCACGACAACAGUAGAUUAAAAAUUUAUCAAUCCAAAUUUAAUUUACUUAUUAAAUAAUUAAUAAUUCAGAAUUUAUAUUUGAUGUUUUUAUUAAAUAGAUAACAUAAUCCAACCAACUAUAUAUUGAAUUAUUUAUAUAGAUUAAAUGAGUUAUGCAUUGACAUCCUUAUCUUAGGCCUACCAAACUCCAGCAAUGAUUGAGAACAGGCCACUGCCCCCAACAACCUAGUUUGCCUUACCAACCCACUAAAUAGCUAGCACACUCUUCAUCAAUUUUUUUUACAUUAAUAUUAAAAUCUUUUCCCUUCCGUACAUAGGCCAUAUGUUAUGUACUUGCAAUUAUCUUCUUUCUUCUUUCCAAGCCAAAAUUAAAAUGGAAUUUAAAUGUCCACUUGCAUCCUUGUAAGAUUGUACAAGAUUAGAUUAUGUGGUGAAUUAAAGCAAGCUUGAAAUCAUGCUAGAAGAUUUCAUGGUAGAUUAGAGGAGCUUUCUCUGUUUUAUUAGAGCAAUAAGGCAAGCAGGCGUGAUUUGCGUGGCAUUCACGCAAACAACUUGGACUAACUUUUUGCUCACUUUAUUGGUUACGUACUUGCAAUUAUCUUCUUUCUUCUCCCAAAUUAAAAUAGUAUUUAAACGUCCAUUUCAUCCUUGUAAGAUUGUACAAGAUUAGAUUAUAUGGUGGAUUAAAGCAAGCUUAAAAUCGUGAUAGAAGAGUAUAUGGUAGAUUAGAGGAGCUUCCUCUAUUUUAUUGGAGCAAUAAGGAAAGCAGGCGUGCUUUGCAUGGCAUUCAUGCAGGCCGCUUGGACAAACUUUCUACUCACUUUUGUUCGCCUUUUUUACAUGCAAUCAGAUAUUUUCAUCUCUCACUCUAAGAAAAAUCCAAAUUUUUAAAUAUGAUACACUACCUUUAAACUGUUUACAAUUAUUAAAUUUUAUAAUUGGAAAGCUCCUAAUCUAUAUAUCAAAUGAUCUAAAACGCAUAAUUUAAAUAACAUAAAACAAUAUCCAUUUUUACAUACUUGAUGCAUGAGUUUGGAAUCUCCAAAUUAUAUAAUUUUUGUGAUUCAAAUAAUUUAGAGAUAAUAGAUGAUUUUAAAUCAUUCGAAACAUCAAUAUUGGAACCCCAUCUUCUGAUUUAAUCUGAGUGAUCUGACUUCAAAAUUUGGCCGAUCAAAUCCUGAUCUAUGUUAUUUGUACAUAUAUAGCAUCAAGGAGUGCUCAAGCAAUAUAAACCAACAUAUUGCCUAAAAUAUUAUCUUAGAUGAGAACUAAGAUAUCAGCAAAAUCUUAUCAGCACUCUACGUCUCCAUCUCUAUUGUCUUCUCUGUUUUGGUUGUGUUGUAAGUUGUAAUAUACCGUCUAUGUAACUUUCUUCUUUUAGUCAAGCUGCAAAUCCUUUUCUUCCACCAAAAAAAAGAGACAUAAUUUAACAUGCAUAUUUUCGUAAAUAUAGCAUUAUCGUAGUAAAGAGCAAUAAAUGAGAUAUGAUGACCAUGUGCAUUGCAUCCAACUUGGGGAUCCAAUAAAGGACAAAGAAUAGUUCCGGUCUCCAAAACGGACUGUUCAACUAAGGCACAGAUGGAAUGUCCCAUGUAAAACACGUUCACUACGAGUUAGGGUUUUGAAAUGAAAAUAAUAACGAAUAACUCUCAUUUCAACUAUUUAUUUUAAUAUUAAUUUUAAAAGAGAAUUGGAAUGUUUUAAUUUUUUAAAAUUUAAUUCCAACUCGAUCUCAAUAUUUAAAUUUUAUUAUGAUCUCAAUUCUAAUUUUGAUUCGUAAGGGGAUAUGGCUAUUCUUAUUUUCAUUCUAAUUCAUUUCGGUUUUAGUUUCAACCAAAUAUGCCUGAAAGUUUUGUGAUUAUAAUUUCCUAAAUAUAUUUAAUUACAAGCCAUUCGUUUAUGUGGUAGUCUUAAAAAGACUGGAAUAAUUCUCCAAUCCCCAUAAUGAUGGCAGUAGAACCUGAACGUUGCUUGAUAUCCCAUCAUGUGGCUUCAUGAUGAUAACAAGUUCAUACGGACGAAUAAUCUACUACUCAUUUGUGUCGCGUGGCUAAUCAACUAGGUCAGAUGGAGUCAGGACAGUUUGAAAAGAUGCUUGCUUAUCCCCAAUGAUAAAAUCAAUUUCUUACUCGUUUUCGACCAUGUUCGUCUCGUCUUUGGGCAGAGGCACGCAUAUUGAAGAGACUAGCAUGUGGCAUCAAUUUUAAUUUUUAUAUUUUAGAAAUAAAAAAUUAUUUUCAUUUUAUUUUUAAAUUUUAAAGUCAUCUUUGGCAUAGCCAACUAUUUUUAAAAUUAUAUGUAUGAUGGUGAUAAUGAUAAUGGCCAAGAUAUUAGUAACAGUGGUGAUGACGAAAAUAAUAGAGAUGAUAGAGAUAGUGGUAGUGACCGUGAAUGUGUGAUACAAGUAAGAAAUUAUGUUUAAGGUUUAGCUCCAAACCGAUCCGACCCAAUCUAUGCAUAUGCUUAAGUAUUAUAAUCUGAUAUGGAUUUAUUUUUUUAUACCAGAUUAGCCCAAAUCAAAUAAACUUUUAGCAUCUUAACUAUUUUUUUAAUAUAUAAAAUUUAUAGAUAAACUAUAUUUCUACCUAAAUGUUAUCCAAAAAAAUAAUUAAUCAGGAAAGUACAGUUCAGCACCCAUGCUUGCUGAUAAGGUCGAAACCUAAAAGGCCGGCAAUUUAUUCAGAAAAGGACAAAAAUAUUGAAAAUAACAAGUACCAAGAAAGGUCUUUAGUGCAAUGUUACAGCCCGCGUGCUCAGCAUGGUAGCCGUCGCGAGCCUCUACAAUGUGUACGAUAGUUGACUAACUCUGCACCACCCGUGUUCAUCAAUUUUCGCAUGGUGUUAUUUCUCUCUAUAAGAACGAUCCCAAGACUCCACAAAGCCAACCAGAGAUCCUAAGACGUUUGGGCUGGCCAUCCACUCAUAAACUCUUAGAGAUGAGGAAUCCGGGGACGCCUUUCAAUUUCUUACUAUGUGCUCUCCUUUCCCUGCUCAUCCUCCAAUCGAGUUUCUCGGCAUCUCACAUAGUUGGUAAGUGUUUCCUUGGGAAAUGUUGAUUUUAAGAUAACACUUAGCUAGUCAAUUGGUUGCAUAUAAUUUGAUCCCUAAAAUAUGAUGACAAGUUUGUACUAGUAAUAGCUCAAACUAGCCACCAAGAUGGUAGCCUGGUGGUAAGGAGGCUGGGACUCCACCCAAGUUGUCCGGGUUCAAAACGCGCACGAUUAAAUUAGGAGGCCGCAUGCCCCACGUCCGGAUGACUCUGUGUGAAUAUGCUUUCCUUCCAUCAGUACUGAGGUGGCGCUAGGGUGACGUACUCACACGUAGAUCCCACGGGUUAGGAAGGGUACGCGGAAACUUACGGUCUGCAUCGAACAUUUUCUGGUGAAAGGGGAACCCAGUAGGGGCUGCUACGCGAGUAGUGUUCUACCGCUGCCCCUCCCCUCCUAUUUUUUUCCAAAAAAAAAAAAACUAAGACUCAAAGCAAAUCUGGAUUGGACAAUUCAGACUAGGCUAACAUCUAAUCAUCUUCAUUAAUAUAAUAAAGACUUACAUGCUUGGUAGUUGGUUGCCAUGUAAUCUCAUUAUUAUUUUUUUUUUCAAAUUUUUAUAUUAAUUUAUUCUCUUGUUCUGUAAAGAUAAAUUUUCUCAAACUAUCUUUUCCUUGGAAUUUAAAAAUACAACUUUGAGAAAAAGAGGAAUUCAUUAAUGCUAUUACCUGGGAAUAAUGAAGGGGCACCAACAAAUCAUUUCUAUGAACGAAAUGGUAGCAUGAUUGUGCAUGUUAAGAAAUUGGAGCAGCACAUCACUGGGUUUGAGCUCCGAGUGUCAUCCAAAUGAAGUUCAAAUCUUCUACAAACCUGAUAGUAGGUAAUUCCCGCAUUCGAAAUUUGUGGUAGAUUUUUAUGGAACACAACCCCAAACAGUACUACAGACAAGCAUGCAAGGUGUGCUCAGUUCCCUAUACACCCCACCACCAACAGUCAGAUAACAAAAUAGUCCUUUUUGCCAAAGUUAUAAGAUAAUAUUUCAGUCUUUGUUAAAGAUGUCUACAGUUAUAUUCACUUAGCAUCAAAUUAUAGACAAUCUUAUGCUAGACACCUUAAUUGUAGGGAACUCAUUAAUUUUGUCUUCUCUGUGGCAGGAGCCGAGAAGUAUUUUGACUAUGAUGAAAAUAGUGAAUUUGGGCCUCAACACUGGGGAGAUCUGGAUCCGGAUUGGGCAACUUGUAAAGAUGGAAAAAGCCAAUCACCAAUAAAUAUAACUCAUAAGAAUAUUGAAGUGAAUUUGAGUCUGGGAAGCUUGAUGACAAGUUACCACAGCACUUUUGCAAUUAUGCAAAAUAGGGGCUAUGACAUAAUGGUAAGAAGAAGAACAUGAACAAGAAGGGGAAAUAAAAGAACCAGUAAUCUCUUUUCUUUUUGUUUUCUUUUGAUAAAUUGAAGGGCUAAAGUCGCUCUAAACCUAUUUGUUAAAUCAAUGAGAAGAUAUUACUAUGUUUUAUAUUGUUUUUUGGUUUUAUUUUACACUUCUUUCUAUGAUUUUUUAUAAAAAUUUUGUUCAUAUAAUUUCUUUUUUAUUUUUCUUAU
This 15095-nucleotide long non-coding RNA is filed under the name Phoenix dactylifera (date palm). RNAcentral's name for it is "long non-coding RNA (PDAC_LNC000109)". The record is from RNAcentral. Lineage: Eukaryota; Viridiplantae; Streptophyta; Magnoliopsida; Arecales; Arecaceae.